GUGCUGUGAUGCAAUUAUAUCAACGCCUCAUUCUGAAAUGUUAUGUGGAAGAUUGAUGACUGAGCAUG
Molecule: small nucleolar RNA, 68 nt
Organism: Anolis carolinensis (green anole)
Lineage: Eukaryota; Metazoa; Chordata; Lepidosauria; Squamata; Anolidae
Gene: SNORD63
Rfam family: Small nucleolar RNA SNORD63
About the family: snoRNA U63 is found in both humans and mice.
Source: Ensembl